Molecule: long non-coding RNA, 25157 nt
Filed under: Citrus maxima (pomelo)
Lineage: Eukaryota; Viridiplantae; Streptophyta; Magnoliopsida; Sapindales; Rutaceae
Description: long non-coding RNA (CMAX_LNC001848)
Source: RNAcentral
AAAUUUAGAUAGUUGUUUUCACAUUCUAAACUGUACAAUUGAAGCCACAUUGGCAAAUUUCAAUUUACAUUACACAUUGAUAUAAUUGUCAUUUACAUAUAAAGAACUUAAAUGCAUACAAGCUCAAUUAUAACAGUUUAGUACUUAAAUAACCUUGAUCAAACUAACUCCUAACAGUCAAAAAAUGUACUGCACAAAUUCUUAAAUUAACUAUACAAACAAAUAUAAUCCAAAAAGGAAAUGGAGACUAUAUUUUGUGCUUACAUAAGGUGGGAUUGGCACUUGGAACAUUUAUACCCAGCCAGCGAGCUCGCCCUUCAGAAACUGAAUCCUUAAUGCUCAGAAUUAUACACAUAGCAUGCUUUGCAAAGUAGUUCUUGUCUUGCAACUAGGCUUACCAAUGUGGUUCCUAUUAAAUCAAUAUUUAUUGGAGCCCGAUUAUCACCAUUUUCAUUGGUUGGCUGCAAAGAACAGAAACAAAAAAUUCAAAUCAAAGGUAAAGCUAAACAAAUUAGCUUUUAAAGUAAAGAAAAAAACGCAGAGCCUCAAAAAAUCCAAGUAUCACCAUUUUCACUCAUUAGCUCAAUCUCGAUUUUAUAUUUACGGCACUCUAUUUAAGACAUAAAACCAGAAAACUUCUUCAUUUGUUUGGGGUUUGACCACACUCACAAGGGUAGGGAGAAAAUUGGGUUGCCGUUAAGCUAAAUAAUAAUGACAAUAAAAUAAAUAAAAAAUAAAAAAGAAGUGUAGCACUACAUACUUCUUUCCCGUCAAAAUACAGCCACUGGAAUACAACCCAAUUUAGCAUUUUGAAUAAAACCAUGCAAGUCUUAGGAUCAAUAGCCUGAAGAACAAAACAAUGGAUUAAAUAAAAAAAAUACCAUUAGCGCCAUAAAUUAUAAUCUGCUGCAAGAUUUAAAUUAUAAUCUAUUAAAUUAAAGUAUUAAUUAGAACUCAAACAAAUUUAUUUAAGGAAAAAAAACUAGAGUUGUUCAUACGGCAGCCAGGAAAAUUUAGAGAAUUUAAUUGAAAAAGAUAUUAAUGCUUUAUAAGUAAGAAGAUUUCGAAAUUAAUUAAGCCACGCAUGAACAAAAAUCUAAUCAAAUAGUCAAAGAAGAGAUUAUGUGAUAAUUGGCCAAACCCAUGUAACUUUGAAGUUGAUUAAAUAGUAUAAAAAUUCACCCAAAAUGAAUUUAACACAUACAUGAUAAUUAGGCAAAUAUCUGACACCUGUAAAUUUAUACAUGAAUUUGAAUAGAUUAAACAAAAAUAAGAGAAGAAAUCAGCCAUUACAGUUUAGAAUUUGCUAGGUAGUAUCAACUUUAAUACCCAAAAACAGAUUAUGGAACGAACAUACAAAUUUUUUUUUUCAAAUAAGAAUCGGAACUUGAAACAAGCAUGGCAAAAGAGACUAAUUUCAAUGACAUAAUACCUAAAUAAACAGAAUUUUAAUCAUGCGUGCAAGUUAAUUUAGAAAUGACUUAACAACAUCAACAUGCAUGCCAAUUUAAACAAGAAUUUUGAAGAAAAAUAAAGAAUAAAAUGAACUGAGAAAGAAGGCUUACAAAUUCAAAAAGCCAGAUAUUUAAUAUUUUGCUCUGAAAUUGAAUUCUCUCUCUUUAAAUCCAAAUCCUUCACCUAGCCUCUCUUGUCUUUCUCUUCUUUCUCCCUCUUCUCCUCUCUCACGUCCUGUUAUCCUCUUGUUUCCUUUCUUCCUUUUUCUGUUUUGUUCCUUUUGAAUCCGAACACUGGUUUUUGUUUCGUAAAUAAAUAAAGAAAUGCUAAAAUAUAAAGAGGUUCAUGGGCUGGACUUGUAACAAAAAUUUUACUAACAAUAUAAUAAGCAUAAGACAAUUAAAUCAUUAAUAAUUUAAAUUUUAUUUUUUUAACAAAUAAGUAAACUCCACUUAGUAAAAAUCAGGGCGUUUCAGUCCUCUUUUCUGUCAAUGUGAUUUUCUAUCCCCUUACCCAUAAUUCACUCUUUUUCCAAAUUCAUUAACCAAGAAAAUCAAGAAACAAAAGGCCAAAGUGCACGACAUAUUUUAUAAUAUUAUGAAAGGAAAAGGAGAGACUAAGGUACAAGCUACACAACACAAAAUCACCAAAUCGAUUAUAAAUGAAGAGGAAAUAAAUCCGACGAGCAAAUAUUUCAAAGCAAAUUAAGAGGAAAGAAUUGCAAAAUUGGAGAAAGCAACUCACAGUGGUGAAACAAUAACCCUGAAUUCAAAAUUUUAGAAUAUCAUUGGCAACAAUCUCACCAACAUUUUCAAGAUAGCACCCAGAAAAUUUGAACUGACUUGACAGCGGAGGCAGUGUCACCACAAUAACCCUGCAUCUGACGGUGAACGAACACAGAGGCAAUGUCGGCAGAGAUGACAGCAGCUGUUUUGCGGAAGUGAAUCGGCUCAAGAAUGGCAGAGAUUGACAGCGGCGGCAGAAAAAGGAAGCAAAUCGGCUCAAGGACAGCUAGACUCAGCGCUGGAGCACUUGAAUCGAUUUGACAGCGGCAGCGGCAUUGACGUUUGAUAGCUUAGGUAGGGUUAGGGCUGGUGUGUGUGACUGAGUGAGUCGUUGUGAUUGUAAUUCGUGAAAAUUGAAGAAGAAGAUAAGGAAUGUGAGUGGUUAGGGAUUGCGCGUUACCUUUAUUCCUUUUAUCGGCUUUUUUUUUUAAAUUUUUUAAGGCAAAUAACAUAUAACGACGGUUAUUAUAAAACGGUCAUGAAAUGUAUUACAAACGAUUCUUUAUAUUCGAUGACGGUUAUUAAACACCGUCAUUAAAAAUAUUGUGGCUUUCUAAUGAUGGUUUUUAAACAAAACCGCCAUUAAAAGUAAAAUUUUAUAGUUAAUGAUAGUUUAUAUAUAUAACUGUUAUUAGUGAUUUUUAAUGACAGUUUUGUUUAAAAACCGUCAUUAAAAGUAAUGAUUUUAUAUUUAAUGACGGUUAUAUAGUAAAACCGUCAUAAAAAGUAAUAGUUUAAUAUGUAAUAACUUUUAAUGACGGUUUUUUUUAUAAAUCGUCAUUAAAAAUAAUAACUUGAUAUUUAAUGACGGUUAUAUAGUAAAACCGUCAUAAAAAGUAAUAGCUUAAUAUAUAAUGAUUUUUAAUAUAAACCGUCAUUAAAAAUAAUAACUUGAUAUUUAAUGACGGUUAUAUAAUAGAACCGUCAUUAAAAGUUUGAAAUUUAUAAUGAUUGUUUUUACAAGUAACCGUCGUUAAAAGUAAAAUUAUAUUUUGGCAUGAUAUUUAAUGACGGUUUUAUAAUAGAACCGUCAUUAUAAAUAUUAUAUAAUAUGAUCGUUCAUAUAAUAACCGUCAUUAAAUAUUUUUAAUGACGGUUUUUUAAAUAAACCGUCAUAAUGUAUGGGUCAUUGUUUUACAUUUUUGUAGUAGUGAUACUAAUUAUGUUGACACACUUUGACCAGUGAAUUCUAUGAUCAAGUACCGAAAAUCCGUCAAAAGAUGUAUUGCAUAAAUUCUAUAUAGUUAAUCUAUAAUCUCACUGCUCAUAAUUGCUUCACCAAGAUACUAGGUAAUCUUGACUACAAAUAUAUGUCACGCCCAUUAGUAACUCAAAUGAAAUGACUAUCACAAACAUGAAACUAUAAUUAACUCAAGAUUGAGAUUGCAAUAAAAUUAAUGCCUAUGAAAUUUAAUAAGUAUGACAAUCAUUUUAAGGUUAAUUAAAUCUCAUAUAUGAUCCAGUUCAAUAUAGUCGAACUACGUCAGUAAAUUCAUACAUGAUUAAGACAAAUUAUUCAAUGAAUUUACCACAGUCUAAACAUAAAAAGAGCGCCCAACUCUAUUUAUCAAAUGCGAACUUAAUUUAUUUAAUCAUAAGAUAAUUUAAAUUUAUGUUUUCUAUGAAUCCAUAUGAUGAUCACAUAAAAUACAUAUAAUAAGAUUAAACGAACUUUAUUCAAAAUUUUUAUGCAAUUAAGAUGUCUGAAAAUGUCUCAAAUAUUUUAUUACUCAGAAAAUAAAUAAAUCAAUAUGCUUUAAGAAGCACAUAAUUUCAUCCACUGAAGUUAUUGGACAUUUUGAGGGACAAAAGAUUGAUGUUUAUUUGAGAUUCAGUGCAUAGAAGUGAGUUUGAAUCAAUGGUCAGUAUGUUACAAUCUACGAUUCCUGAAGGAAAGAAAUCUUUUUGUGAAGGAAAAAAAUAUUUUCAUAGGAUUCCCCGUUGGAAGAUCUUUAAAGCCAAGGCACUGCUGAUAUUAAUUUUCAUCCCAUAAUUAAAGAUGAUAUGUUUCUUGAUUUGUUCUUAGGAAUACAAUGCAUCCAUCGAGUUUUACUGGGCAGCCUUUACCGCCUAGUCCGUUUUGAAUUGUGCAACAUUCCAUAUAUUACAAAAUAGGCUACAUACUUGACUCCAUUAUAUUUAGAGGCGCUAAUUAAGAUCAAUGACAUGCCAUCAUCAGGAGACGGAUUAGAAGUUAUGAGUCAUCAAUCUUUAUAUGAGGAUAUAGCUAUAGCUGUUGACGAAAUGAUGGACAUAUAGGAGACACCACCAAAAAUAAAUUAGCCAGCAAUAGACAUCCAGCAUUAGUCAAAAGUCAAAAGUAGUCAGAGUCACGUGUUUUUACAGAUGACCUUCCUUUACACAUUACCCCAUAAGGAAAAAACUGUGAAGGCAUCUUUUUCGCUUUGUCUUUUGUUACCGACAGUGAGUCAACAUAAAAAAUAGUAGCCAGUCAUUAUUUCUCGAUAGUGAGUCAUUACAAAAUAAUAAUAACUAGUCAGUCUUUUAUUUUUCAUCUUUUUAAUUAAUCGUUGGCCUUUUGCACAUGUAAAGUGCAAUUUUAAAGUUUUGUCUUUUGUAGAUAGAGUCAUAAUUGUACCAAUGUCUUCAAGUGUAUAUAAACCCUUUAAGUCAUUUUGAGAAGAGACAGGGAGUAAGAAGUGAUUGUGUAAAAUAACAAGUCAAUGCUUUGUAAUAAAAAAAAGCAAUAAAAAGUUUCUUAUCCAUAAAUGCCUAGCAAUCCUUUAGACAACAAUUAGCAAGUUUCUAUCAAGUAGUUUAAAUUCUUUACUUUUAUUUAUUUAGCUUUCAGGUUUAUAAGUCUCACCUAAUUAAUGAAAGUAUAAAUUAUAUUUAAAACAUUAACAAAAGGUGGUCCUUGUUAGCAUUUAGGAGAAAAGACUUUGGAGGAAAAGUUCUUGAAAAUUAAGGUUUUUAUUUUUGACAAAAAUAAUAAGAACUUAGUAAAGUUUUCUCUGAUUUUCUGAACUUAGUAAGAACUUCGUUGGACCGUUUAGCCAUUAAUGCGUUAAGAAUGCGUUUUUGGGAAUGAGUCAAAAGUUAAAAGUGUUUCUAACUAGCAUGUUUUAAAAAGUAGUUAAAUACAAACUUUGAAAGGCUAAUUUCUGCCAAAGCAUCUUCUAUAGUUUUCAUAAAACAUUUUGUGAAUUCUCUAUAUAUAGGCGGGAAACCAGUGACGUAUAUUAUGAUGGUCAACCCAAACGGGAACUAGAUUAGUUUUCACUGCUGGUAUACCAAGUCACGUACAAGUCUUCCCCUAGCCUAACCUAGCUGCCCUUUCCUCUUUCCUCUUUCUUCUUUCCUCUUUGGUAUCAGAGCACCUCUUUUGUUCUUGUUUUAAUUUUUUUUUAUGUGAGUAAUUAAAAGGUAGACUUCGUUUAGUUUAAGAUAUAUUUUGCACAAUUGCUAAAUUUGACAAAAAUCUUGAAAAAAUCUAUAAAAAUCCAUUUGUUGUUUUAGGAAAGGAUUAUGUUACUUGGAUAGAAAAUAACCCUUAUAUAGAAAUUUUAAAAAGUGCUUUAGAAAUUGUAGAAAUUGAAGUAGUAAGAAUUAGUAGUGAACAGUUCCAAUUAGACACAUUAUUAGAAGAAAGACGAGGAAAUAUAAAACUUCCUAUAGAUUACACAUCUCCUUCACCUCCUAAAAUAGAAAGAAAAAAAAGUAUUAAACAUUACACUUUUACAAAUUUGCCUAUAUUUAACUUUAAAAAGUAUAAUUUACAAUAGUAUAAUAUUAAUAAGCAAAUAAAAUUAUUAGACAAGUACGAGAAUCUAUCAUUAAAAAUUAGAAAUAAAUUAGAAGAAUUAGAAAAUUAGUUUAUAAAUUCUCAGAGAUUAGAAUAUUUAGAUUUAGAAAUUAGCAAUCAUAGAAAACAAAAAUUAAAUUUGACAGAAAGGUUAAAAAUCAGUUGUAAUAGAGAACACUUAGAAAAUUAAUUUAAACAUAUUCCACACACUAGCAAUAGUCAACAAAAUUUCAUAGUCGAUUUAUUAAUCAAUUUAGGACAACACUUUGAAGUCAAUAUUAAAAAGCUAAAAGAGCUAGUACUAGGACUAGGAAAAUUUUUUAAACUAGUAAUAUUAAUACAUUAAGAAGAAAUUUAGAUUAUAUUAAAGAAUUAUUAGCAAAUUUUAAUAGUUAUGUUAAAAGAUUCCCUAGCAAUAAAAAAAUAAUAGAAUUAAUUCAAUUUUAGACAUAAAAACACCUUAUCCAAUAGAAUUAGAAAUGAAAAAUCUUGUAGAAAGUUUAAAUGUAGAAAUAGAAAAUAUUAAAUUUACACAGAGAGAUCUACAAAUACAAUUAGAUGCAAUAAGAAUAAUAGUCAGUGAAUGAAUUCAGACAAGUUAUUAAUAGAAUCUUUAGCAGAACUAAGACGUGAAAUCCCACAUCUAAGUGCCAGUUUGGGAUUGCAGUUGCUGCUUCUACUUUGCAGAUGCAAUAAACAACUGAUUAAAAAAACAGUUUGGUGUUUGAUAAACUGUGUUAUUGUAAUUGUUGUGAGUUUGAAAAGUAGUGUACAUGUGUUUGGUAAAUUUUAUUACAAAUGUGUUAUUUUAUCAUAUAAUGAUCAAAAUGGACAUAAGUUUAAAUUACCUUUUAUUAUUAUUUUUGAAUUAUGUUUAAUAAUGUUUAGACAUGCCAUUUUCUUUUUAAAACACAUAAAAUUAUAUUAAGAGAAAAAAACUUAAUAAUUUAUUAUAUAAAAUAUUAUAAAAAUUCAUACUAAUAUAUUAUUCAGAUAAAAUAAAAAGUAAUAUUCAUUACUUUCACAUUAAACUUGUUGCAAUAAAUACCAUGACUAUAGAAAAAAUAUAAAUAGAUUGAAUGUUAAAAGCCAUGGUUAUGAAAUUGAUUUUAAAAGUUAUGGUUAAUUUUCAUGUGAAAUUGUUCAUAGUUAAAAAGAAAAUUACAUAAUUAUAUGCAAGUCUUUUUUAAUCUUAUAAUAGAAAAUACAAGUAUAAUAUAAAAAAAUAUGAACUUACUAGAUCAAAACUUUGAUAUUGGAGAGAAUAUGUAGUAGUUGUGGUGGUAAUUUAAUUGUAGCGGUAAUAUGAUAUUUAAUGGCUUAUAUAUUAGAGUGUACGGAAAAAUAUAACAUAAUUAUUUUUGUUAAAAAUUUAAUUAAGGUUAUAAUAGGAACAUUAAAAAGAUGUGGUAACUUAUUUAAUAAGCUGCUUAUCAAAAGCAACUCCCUACUUGCUUUUAAAAUUUACUGUUAAAAUGGAGAAAACUAUGAAAUAAGCAGCUUUUACAAAAUUUACCAAGCACUAUUUUUGUCACAGAUUAUAAAAUAAGCAGCUUAUUGAGUUUCAACAUCAAUCUCAAACAAGGCUUAAAUUUAGUAGGUUAUAACUUUAAAGAAUUUAGUCAAGAAAGUAAUAUUAUCCAACAAGCACAAACCAAUACUAUUAUUAAAUUAUUAGUCAAAUCAACAAGUUAGAAGACCUGAACAACAAACUUAGUAAAUUAGAAAAUAAAUUUCAAACCUUGAGAACAAAUAAAGAAUCUAUAUUAAACUUAGAACUUAGCAACUGAUUAGACAAUUUAGAUAAAGAAAUAGAUAUAUUAACCAAUAGAGUAGAAAAGUUAAAUUUAAGUGGACAAAUUCUAACACCUAGAACAAUAGACAUCAGAGAUAUUUUAGGACCUAAAGUAAUAUUAAAAAGUAAUGGACUUAGUAAGAAAUAGUAGAAUAGACAUAAAUAUGGCAGAAAGGCUUAGAAGAUCACUAUUGUUUUCUAGUAAAGGUAAAGAAAUUAUAGAAAGAAUUGAAGACAUGAUAGAUGAACAAGAUCCAGAUAAAUUAUUAGAAAAAAAGUUUCAAAUGAAUUAGAAAGAAAAGAUUAUAUAAUGAAUGUUUAAUGUCAAAAAUAUAUAUAAUAGUUUAUAUAUUUACACAGAUGAGACUAAAUUAUUGGUAGUAGAUAGAAGAGAAGAUUUAACUUUAAUUGGUCUAGUAGGUAGAGACUAUCUUAAAAAAUAAAAUUACACAGACAUACAUAUGAGAAUAAUAAUAAUAGGAAUUCUUAGUCAGACUAGAGAAGGUUUAGAUACUAAAAUUCAUUUAUAUCUAUAUGAUAGCAAGUUCUAUGAGCAUGAACAAGCUCAAACAGCCAGUGCAGAAGUAGAUUUAAAAAAUAAAGAAGUAGUAGUAGGAUGUAUACCUAAUAUAGACAUAGAUAUUAAUGAAUUUUGUAAACAUAUUAAAUUAAGUGUAUUAACUAAAAGUUGUAAAAUGAAUGCAGAGUAUAAAAACCUUAGGAUUAAAACAAUUUUUUUCUUGAAAAACUAUAUAAUAAAUAUCAUAAAAAAUUUAGAUUCGAAAGUAAAAAUAUCGUAGAUUGUUUUAAAAGUCAAUAUGUUGAAAUGAUAGUACCUAAGAAAUUAAGUAGUAGUCAAUUAAAUGAAUUAGAAUGGAUAUUAUCUCAAUUAGAACAAGAUAAUAUAUUAGAAGUACUAGAAACUAGCCAUACAUAUAUAAAUAGACAAAAUCAAGUUACACAAAGAUUUUAUAAUUAUAGACAGAGAAGUAAUCCAGAAUUAGAUGAAAAAUGAAGAAGAAAUAGAAAUUAAUAUGACUAUAAUAGACAAUUUAGAUAUAGACAAACAUAAAACAUUAUUUGAAAAUAGAGAUAAAAUUAUAGAUCUAAUAUUUAAUAACCCUAAAAAAUAUUUAGAUGAAGAAUUAUUUGAAAAAUUAUGUAAUAAUGAUGAAUUAAUACAUGAUGAUAUAGACAAAAAACUUAUAAAAAAUUUAGAUUUUAAGAUUUAUAAAUAGAAAAAAUUCAUUAUUUUGAAAAAAAUAGAUGAAAUAUUAAUAGGAGAAGAAGAUAAAAAGCCAGAAAAAGUAGCAAUAGACCUAUAUUAGAACCUAUAGUAGAUCCAUCAAAUGUAGAAAGUUAUUUAGAUGAACGAGGAAUUCCAGAAACUAAUGAAAAAUACACAGAAGCAGAAAAAGUAUUUAAAGCUAAAACAAAAUUAGAAAAUUAGAAAACAAUACCGCAAGCCAGAGAUUUAUUAGUAUUAGAAUUAGAAGAUCAUAAACCUAGUCAAUGGAAACAAGUUUUUAACUAGUGGGUAGGUAAUUUACUUAGAUAUUCUAGGAAGCAUUAGCAAUGAUUGUAAACCCAAAUUAUGAAUUAAUAUAUUUAGAAAGUACUUUAGGAAGUAGAGAAAAACAAAUAUAUUUAGGAUGAAGAAAAAUAAAUUAGAAGAAUUAGACAAUUUUGAUAUCAAUAUUACACUAAUCAGUUUUAUAGAUUUAAUGAAAAAAUUAAUAUUAAGAGUAGACGAAAAAGACAAUAUUAUUAAAUAGAUUAAAACAAUUAGAAAUUUAGAACAAUUGAAAAUUUUUGAUUUAAGAAAUUUUGAUGAGUAUGCUAAUUAUUUUUAUAAAUAUUAGAGUGAAAUAGCAUAAGAACCGAUAUAGUUAAAAUAAGCAACCUUAUAGGUAUAACAAUAGAAAAUUCUAUAAAAAGAAACCUUGAUGUGCAAGUAUUCGCCUAUUGUAAAGCUACGUGAUGGAUGUACAAAGUUUGUACUACAAAUUAGUGAUCAAUGGCUAUGUGAGCACAUGUUACUGGCAAUGUCUUAUUAACCGAAGCUAUAGUUGUUAACAUAUUUUCCUGUUUCCGUGUGAAAACGUGGAACUGUAGUCAAUUGUAUUUUGUUUUUGCAUUCAAGUUUAAGGCUAUGUUUAUGGAAUUGGAAUAUAAUGCCAUCACUGCUUUUAGAAGGGACUUGGGCAAAUUGGCUAGAAUCAAAAUUCAAUCCUUUUACUCGAAAGAUCUAUUUUAUGAGUAGAGGUGGUAAAAAUAUCUGUCUGGUCCGGACUCGGACCAUACCCGGGUGUUGUGGGCCGGGUAUUACCCGGCCCGGGUAUGAAGUCGGGUCGGUCUUGGGUAUCACUUGAUAAACCUAGAACCUGGAUUUUAUUAAAAAUAUAUUAUAAAAUAUAUAUUAUUUUAAAUAUUUAUAUUUAUUUGACUCAUUUGUUAUACAUAUAUAAAGUUUUAAACACUUAAAGUUUAUAUUUUCAUGUCAAAUUUUAUUGAAAUAAAUUUAAAACUUAUAAAAUUACCAAAAAAAAAAAUAUACACAUAUAAUAUUAAAAAAUAUAAAAUUUGGGUACCUGAAUUAAAACCCAGCCCGGACCCAGACCCAGACCGGUUGCAUCCAGGCAGGGUUCGGUCAUUGCAAUACCCGGACCUGGCCCGGGGUUUUGCCAUCCAUAUUUAUGAGUAUGUCUCCAAAACAUCAAAGGUAAGUUUCACCCAAAAGCUGCACAAACAUAGAACAUUCACUACAAAAGAAAGUGUCUUUCGUGACGGCUCUUGUGACUGCAAAAUUAGUCGUCGCAAUUCUCACUUACAAAAUAUGACACUAGCUCAUGGAUAACUUUGUUGGGUUAAACAAUAACUCAGUCCAAAUUCAUUUCAAAAACACAUUUGACCUCAUUUUAAAAAUAAAAAAUCAAAAUCAAAAAGCAUAUUAAAAAGAAAAAAAAAGAAGCGUUGUUACGAAGACAGAGCGUGCUUUCUCUGUGGCCUAUGCUUUCUCUGGUUCUUGCUUCUUUUUUUUGUAAGUUUAUUCAAUUCAAGUUUAUUUCUUCUUUUUUUCUAGAUUUAAUUUUUGUUUUUGAAAUGUGAAAAAGCUUAUUGUUGGAAUUGUGAAAGACCCAUGCCGAAUUGAUUCUUAAAAUUUACUAGAGAAAAAAAUUGGUGUAUAAUUCAUCUCCUCUCUUUGUUCUCAUUCACUACAACAUCCAUUGCUUCUUCAUUUACAACACACCGGUAAGAGAACUUAACUGAUAUUUUUGUAAUUUAUCCUCGUUAUUUUCCUUUUCUUUCUAAUUACUGCUCUAUUUUGAGUUUAUGCAUGAAUGAUUUUUAGGCUAGAUCUAGCUCUAUUUUCAUUGAUGAUCGUUAACUUAUCUAGAGUAUAUUUUAUGUUUAAGCAAUUUUUUUGAAUGAAUCUAUUUGUGUACUGAAUAUGAAUUUGAUGAAUUGGAUUGCUCAGCUGUAACUUAUUUAGAGUGAAUUUUGGUUGUUGAAUUCUAUUUGAGUAGCUUCUGUGACUAAUUCUACUUGCCAACUGAAUUUUAAAUUAGAUGAAUUGUUUUAUUGAGCUGUAAUUUAUCUAAUGUGAUGUUCGUAGUUGAAUUCUAUUUGAACAGAUCUUGUGACCGAUUUUAUUUGCUUACUGAAUAUUGAAUUAUACAUUGGAUUGUGCAUUGAAGAAAAAAAGAAGAAGAAAAAAUGUCUUGACUUCAUAUAUGUGGAGAAUUAAUGUAAAUUGACUUGUUUUCUUGUGCACUUAAGGUUAGUAAAAAUGGACAAGAGUUGGAUUGAUUUGCCAAAUAAGACAGCCAAACCAUUUACUGAUGGGGUUAAGACAUUCCUCGAUUUUGCAUUUAAGAAUGUUGUUAAUGACAAUAGGAUUUAUUAUCCAUGUAAAAAAUGUCGUAAUCAGUUUUUUGUUGUAAAAGAGGUGGCAGAAGCGCAUAUUAUAGUACAUGGCUUUUGGUCAAAGUAUAAAAAAUGGAAAAUGUAUGGUGAACCUAGUACAUCUAUAGAAUCUAACCAAGAAAAGGAGGUUAGCUAUAGUUCAAGUGCUGAUGAUGAUAUGGUUGGGAUGAUAAAUGAUGCAAUGUGUUCUCCAAAUUUAGGCUUUUGUUUAUUUGAUAAUCCUUCAUUAGAGAAUAAACAUUAUAAGGGUCCAAAUGAUAGAACUAAAGCAUUUCUUAAAUUACUUGAAGAGGCAGAAUCUCCUUUGUAUCUAAGCUAUGAGAAUUUUACAUCAUUGUCAUUCAUUGUUCGACUUCUACAUAUGAAAGUAUUAAGUGGAUGGACAAACAAAUCAGUGACAAUGUUGCUAAAAUUACUAAAAGAGGCAUUUCCUCAAGAAGCUAAAAUUCUAGAAUCAUAUUAUGAGGCUCAAAAGAUAAAUAUGACUUGGGUUUUAGCUAUAAAACAUGGGAUGCUUGUCCAAAUAAUGGUAUGUUAUUUAGACAUGAAUAUGAGGAGCUUGACAGAUGCAACAUAUGUGAAGCAUCUACAAAUAAGCAAUGUGGCGGUGAUCCUAGUUAGAGAUGGCCAAUGGGCUGGGCCAGCACCAAAGCAAGGCCUAUGCGUGCUCGUGCCCGUGCCGUGCCGUGCCCACUAUGUGUUUCGUGCCGUGUCAUGCCAUAAUUUUUUUGCUUAGACCUGGCCCGGCACAUUCGUGCCGUGCCGUCCUUAAAAAAAGUCUAAUAAGCUUUUUUUUUUUAAAAAAAAAAUUUUAAGAGCGCAUGUUAAGCUGUUGGUAUAUCUUUUUCAAAUCUAUGUACUUUUCUUAGGUUUAUGCCUUUAUUCAAAUUUAAUAGAAUUGAGAAUUCAAAACUCAAGUCCAUAUUUAAUAAUAAUAAACUAAUAAUAGUAAGAAAAUAUAAUAUUAAUUAUUAUGUUUGACCUUAUAGUAAUAGAUUUUUUUUAAUAUUUAAUAAAAAUAAUAAUAAAAAAAUUUUCUUAUAGGUUAACUUAAUUGUUAACUUAGACUUAUAUAGAGUCAUAAAUCAUAAUUCACAAUAAUAGUAAUGCAUAUUUAUAAAAUCAUGAUAUUUAUAAUUUAAUUCAUUAAAAUCAUGAUAUCAAUUAUUUAUUUAAUAAAUUACAAAUAUAAAUCAAUUAUAUAUUUUUUAAAACUAAGAAUUAAAUGAAUUUAAAAAAUUGAAUUUCAAGUUAUUUGUAAAAUCAUAAAAUUUUAAGUUUACUUUCAUUAAAAAAUAAAACGUGCUUAUUACGAGCUUUUUUUAUCGUGCCGUGCUUAACCCAUCUCUAAUCGUACCGUACUUUUAAGACCCGCGUGCCUGAAAUUCUAAGCUCGGCACGGCCCACGUGCAUGUCGUGCCGUGCCGCGUGCCCCACCGAAAUAUGCUCGUGUUGUGUCGUGCUACGUGCCGUCCGGUCCAUUGGCCAUCUUUAAUCCUAGUGGCCCUUAAAAUCAAGAUAAAAAAAAUAACGGCCAAACAAGUUUGGUAUUUUCCACUAGCACCAAGAUUACAGAGAUUAUUCAUGUUUUUAGAAAUUGCUUCUUUCAUGAGAUGACAUGUUGAAUCACGCACUAAGGAUGGUGUUCUGAGGCAUCCUACUGACAACCUUGCAUGGAAAACUUUUAAUGAAAAAACCACUGAUUUUACUAUUGAUAGUCGCAAUGUUAGGCUUGGAUUAGCUGCUGAUGGUUUUAAUAUGUCUGUGGCACUUAGUACAUGGCCUGUUGUUCUAAUACCAUAUAACUUGCCACCAUUGUUGUGCAUGAAACAACAAUUCUUCAUUUUAUUUGUGCUCAUAUAACUUGGCAUGUUGUUCUAAAGGACCUGGUGAUAAAAUUGAUGUUUUUCUCCAUUAGUUGAAGAAUUAAAAGAAUUGUGGUCACAAGGAGUACUUACUUAUGAUGCAUCACGUGAUCAAAUGUUUAAAUUGCAUGCAUCAUUAUUAUGGACUAUUAGCGAUUUUCCAGCAUAUGUUAACUUGUCAGGAUGGAGUACUAAAGGUGAAAAAGCUUGUCCUAUUUGCAGUUCAAUUUUGAAUGGCAAGUGAUCGGUUCAAAUUUAUCUAAGUUUAAGUCUCACCUCGGGAUUAUAGUGAAAAUUUGACUAAAGGUUCCUCUUACAUAUGCUGAAUGGACUCACAUGCGUGAUGAUGUCCUGAAAUUUAUUUGGAAAGAAGUGAAGGUAUCAAACUAUUUGUAUUUCUCUACUAUAUAUUAUAAUUCUUUAUUGUUGGUCUCAGUUAUUUGGUUUUAGAAGGACUAACAUUAAAUAUAUAAAAAAUUCAAUAUUUUCUUUCAAGAUAUGUGAUUUAUAAUCUUGUAUCCUAAGGGUAGUAUGCUUUAGAAUCUUGAUCGCUAAAAUUCCAUCUGAUAAUAUAUUUUGCCACUUUGUUGUUGGUCUCAAUUAUUUGCUCGUUUUCAUAGAGUUAUGAUACAAUUUUUUUUUUUAAUUGAUAUCCAUGGGCAAGUACAAAUGCUCCAGAUGCCUACAAACCUCAUUGCCUAAAGAAUGCAGGAAAACUUUGGAAGGAUUGGAAAUAUUGAGUGAAAAGUAAGCAUUAUAAUGGCAAGACAGAUGCAGAAUGCCUUACAUCCAUUCGUCCUAGGGUUGUUGAAGAGCAGUGGAAGACAUUGGUAGCUUAUUGGGGCACUGAGGAAUCUAAAGUAUGAGAUCAAUUUCCAUAACUGUUAACUAUUUUCAUGGCUUCAUUCUUAGCAUCCACUAAAACAAAAGAUAAAACUUAAUAUUCUUUGAGUUAUAGGCUGCUGCAGAAAAAAAUAAAAUAAAUCAUUCACAAGUGUAUUCACUUCCUAGAACUGGUCAAACUUUAUUUGCCAUUAAAAAAGAGCAGGUUAGUAUUAUGUUUUCCAAUCAAAUAUGUAGACAUGAGCUUUUUGUUUAUACUUUAUAGUGCUUUUACAAUUUUGGUCUGGCAUCCUAUGUUGUAAAUUGUUAUGAUUUUCAUUACAUUUAAAGUGUGCUUGAUUUUGAUUUUACAUUCUUCUAAUACUUUGAAUUCAUUAUCUUUUUCUAGAUGAAGAAACAAGGAAAAAGACAUAUCAAAUAAGCGUUUUUAUUGACACUCGAUCAAAACUAACAGUAGUAUAUGUGAUCUAGAGAGUGAGGAAAUAAUUGUAAGGAGGAAAAAAAUAUCAAGUAUUUUCAUAUUAUUUCAUAUUGAGAUAACAAACAAACAUUUUAUAUUCUAACAAGUUUAAAUGUUUGAAGAGUCAAUUUCAUGAACAUCUGUCUCACUUACCAGAGGAACAACAAAUAGAAGCUGUGAGAGAUUGAGUUUUUACUCAAGUGAUGGGACCUGAUGGUCAUGGAUAUGCUCGAACCUAUGGGCAUGGUCCAACACCAUCAGACGUGAUACGCACAAAGUCAAAUGAAGCUAAUGAAAUACUGCAACAAGAGGUAAAUCGUCUUAAAUCCAAUUAUGCUGACCUUCAAUGCAAAUAUAGUGAUGUUGAGAUACAUUCAUUUAUGAGAAGCCGUUUUGAUGAUUUUGUUGCUGAGAUUUAAUCAUCCACAAAUGAGCCGGUAUGAUUUUAAUAAAGUAGUCUAUUUCUAGCUAUUUUUUAUGCUCGCUUAUUCAUAAGUUCAUUUUUUGGGCCUUGCUUUAAAGAUUGAGACUUCAUUGACAUGGGAUUGAGGUUGCAUUCUAUUUAAUAAUUUUAAUGUGGGUUGAAAUUAUUCUUAACUUGAAAUGUUGUCAGUGUGAAAUAGGAUUUCAAGUAAGAUUGUGGGUUGGUAAAAGGAUCAAAGUGUGAGAAAUACAAAUAAUGAAGUGGUGGAUUAAGUACAUUUUGAGAAGUAACAAUUGCGAGGAGAAGUGGCUAAUUUGCUUCCGAGAAAACCUGUACUUGUUGAUAGUGACUGAUUUUAGUGAUUUAAAUUCUUUAAUUGUAAAUAAGUUCUUAAGAAUGACCUACUAAAUGAGUAAAUAUUUUUCAUUUAAUAUCAAGCACUUACCUUUGGAAUUAAUCAGCUUAUAGUGUAGAGAUAAUUCAUCAAUAUUCAUUGAUGAUUUCAUUUGUUUCUCACUUGCAGAGUCCAGAUGCAUCAAGCUCUCACCAUAACAAUCAAAAUGCAAACCCUGAUUUUGAGAUUAACAACUAGCAUGCUUGCCUGUGGCUUUGAUAAUUGAUUUGUAGAUUUUAAUGGAUAAUGUUGUUGGAUAAUUGGUUCAUUAGAUUGAUUUUACAACUUGUUAUGUUAAGCUUGUAAUUGUUACUUUUCAUUCACAUUGUACAUUGAAUUGAAAAUUAUCAAUUAUAUAUCUCAUAUUUUAUAAUUAUAUGAAUGUUAAUCAGAAUGUGAAUAACGUUCUUAAUAUAUAUUUUGGGUAGAAAAUUAAAAAAAAAAGAUUUGGGAAGAAAAUGAGUGGCUAAUAGUAGUUGAGAUGCUAAAUUACUUUACGACUCUAGUUUACCGUCACAAAAAAGACGAUGCAAUGGUAAUUUUCCAAUCGCAAAUAGAAAUCGACGCGAUUACCUGUGUCCACCAUUCCCCGUUGUAUUGCCGACGUCAAAAAUCUUUCAUGACGGUAAGUAGCCGUUGCAAAAGGCUCUUUUUCCUGUAGUGAAAAGGCGUCCUUUUCGCGUCUGAAAUUCGAAAUCUUGAGUAAAUCUGAUAUCUAUAGCCUACGCGUUACUGAUUUUUGUUUUGAUUUUCGACUCUUCUCAUAAUAAGAAAAGAGUACUUUAGCUCAACUGGAAGAAAAUGAAUAGUCAUCAUAUCUGCACUGGUAUCUGCCAAAGAAGGGAUCGUUCCAUUUGUUAAAACUUAAAACAGAGAAUAUGUACAAAUUUUUACCUUUGAAUACCUUAUUAUGAGCUUAUUUUCAUACAGAAAGUGAGAACCUCAACCUGUUUAUAAUUUAUUCCAGGUGAUAUGACAACUUGUUGAUCCGCAAAUACCAGAGGCUGCAUAAACAAUCCAUGUUGCAGUCAUCACUUAAUUUAUUUACAGGAGUUCCCAUUCAGAAUCACAUAUAUGUCUUGUAGGUGAAUUUUCUGAUUCCAAGGUAGCAGAGGAGGUUGCUGGCAAGAGAUUUUGCAAUGUGUCUUGUUCAGGCCCCAUAUAAGCAUCUCCAAACCAAAUUGCUAGCUGCUCGUACUCCUUAGCCAACCUCUUUUUUGGAACAAACGCCUCUUGGAUCCUUUUCUGAUGAAAAGAGAACAAAUUAGGACAACAACAAAUUCAUCUGGGCUUGACUAUUUUGAUGAUAAACAAAUACUUGAAAACAAAAAACAAAAAUGUUUUCUUGUAGUGUCAUUUAAAUGAAGCAUGCUUCCAAUGAAAUUUUUCUGGAUUCUGAUACAGGCAUGACUUACUAGGGUUCCAAACAUAUAUUCUAGGUUUCCAUGAAAAGGUGCUUCAUGAAAUUGAGAAAUAUAAUUGAGAUCUGCCAAUGAUGGUCACAUUUUCGUUUUGAUAUACAUAGCUUUUUUUUUCUUUUUCCUUAAAUUUUUACCUGUUAUGGGCAGAAAAUUAAUUACAAAAGGCAAAAAGGAUGUCCCUGUGGAUUUCUUUUUCAGUCAGGCCAUUCAGAAUUUGAAUAAAUAAAAAGAGAAUAUUCUCUCUUGUGAACAAAGUGAGACAACAGUAACUGGUGCAUGUGUCACAGAGAGAGAGAGAGAGAUGCAACCUUGAAUGACAUGAGUUUCCGGGUCCUAUAAGAGACAGCAUAAAGUGCAUUAUUGUCAACCAAGAUGCAGCUAUCCUCCAGCUCCAUGUUGUCGCACAAUUCAAUGGUUUCCAUCCCAGAAUAAUCCAAAUCAUCACCAUAAUCAUGUGAAUGUCCUGUAGUUGAUUUUGGAAUUAGAAUAAGAGAAAAUCUAAAUCAUUUAUAGUUUGAGCAAAAGGAAUAUUCUAGAAAUUUUGAGAACAUUAAUGUAUAUCACUGUGAUUUUUGAAAAGUUCAUAACCUCAUGGGCUUGGGGAAAAAAAUAGACAAUAGGUGUGUGAACAUGGAAUAACUGAGCUUUCUGUGGAGAAAUGUUAACUUGAGAAUCCAUCAAAGAAACUUGAAGGCGGUAGCCAGGGCAAGGGGAAACAAACCCUCUGUCUAUGUAAUAAAUCUACAUUUUUUUAGAGGAUAGAUAAACAUUGGCAGAUUGCCAGGUGCAUGAAUUUAUUAUUUGAACAACCCUUUUAUUUAUAAGCUAAACUUAAACACAAAACAGUUGCCCUGAACGCGUGAUAUUGUACAGGGAAAAACGCUCACUUUGAUUUUCAUGAUAGACAUAGAUGAAGUAGAAAACAUUUUAACAAGUUAAACACUACAGUUUUCCUCCUGAAACUUCCAAGCAAGUUCAGAAAGUCACAUCCAAAUUUGACUUAACAACCCAACAAUUAACAUAUUAAGAGACAAGAGAAAACAAGCACUGGAAGAUUACCAGGUUUUGAAUUUGAUAUUUGAACAAAUCCUUUGUUUAUGCGCUAAACUUAAGACAUGCACCAAUUGCCCUGAACAUGUGAUAUCCUAUUGGGAAAAACACUCACUUUGAUUUUCACAAUGGACAUAGAUGAAGUAGGGAAACACCUUGACAAGUUAUACUAAGGAACCCCUCCUAAAACUUCUGCACAAGUUCAGAAAAGUGGCAUCCAUAUUUGAUACCACAAACCAAAAUCUAACAUAAUAAAAGACAAGUGAGAAAACAAGCACAAUAAUGCCGGAGGUCAAUAUCACAUAAUCUGGGGUUAGACAAUGAUUGAUAAAACAGAACUAAAAAUAAAUAACUUGCUCAAACUAAAUAUCAGUUUUUUUCCAAGCACAACAGAAUGAGGCGUCAGCAAAGAAAUGUAAUAUCAGUUUCAUGAAUACUGUGAUUCAUCAGAACAGUCACAGUUCAAAUUACAACCAAAUUACAUACCUUGAAAAGGGAUCUAACAAGUAGCCAAACCUAAAAGGAAAUGACAAACGCAGGUGAACAGCAAGAGAAGAAAGCUCCGUGAAGGGCACAAAUAAAGUAGAAUACACAUAGUUUAUAAACACGCUCUAAAGGAAGAAGUUGAAGCGUAGUCUUAAUCAUGAACAUUGUUAUUACCAACAUAGUUUUCAUCAAAGUCAUCAUCAGUGUCACUACUAAUACGACCACCAAAUGCCAGGGAUUUAAAAGAAAAUGCCAGAAAAUUGGGACAAAAGAAGAAAAAAGGAACUUUGACAUACCAUUAUCUGGAGAGAUUGCAGAAGCCUCAGAUUGAGCAGUCCCACAAAACUCACAAUUAGUCUUUUGAGAUAUCCCACUUAGUGAUGUUUUGUAAUUAGUUCUGGAGACUUCUUCCUCUGACAAGACAGAAGUAAAUUAGAAUCAUGGUAAAAUAAUACCAUUUUGUAAGGAUUUGGAAAAUACAAACCACUAGAUUCCAAUGACAGGACACUGCUGGAGUUGAUAUGCUCCACCUCUGCUUCGUUGUCCUCGUGGGAUACAAUUGGAGAAGAUGUAGAAGACGGGAUUGCUUCAUAACUAUCAUAAACACACCCAACCUUAUCAACUGCAUCAGUACAAAUUAUUGUUUCUGCGGUUAAGCAAUCAUGCAAAUUUUUAGAUUCCAUUAAUCUGGGAUCACUAGAGGGAAUGAGUCUUGUCUCUAAUAUAUUUUCCUUACAAAAUGCAUCUGAGAAAGCCAUUUCAGAAGCAGCGAAAGUAUUUGAAGAAUCAGAAACACUCACGGAGUCAUCUGCAAAUUUAUAAGAAACUGCAUCCACUAUUUGGGUUGGUUGGCACUCCAUAACAUCAACUGAAUUUGCAUGUGCCAUCUCCACCACAACCCCAUGUGCAUUCUUAUCAUUAGAUUCACUGGAAUCACUAGACAAUGAUACUUCUGACAAGUUCAUCUCACCAAGAGACAUUAACUCCAACACCUCAGAUGUAGAUGACUUGUCUUUUAUGGCAUGUUCUUCAAUAUCCUUGUCAGAGCUCUCAUGUGCUAAAACAUCAACAGCUUUCCCGGAAACCAGAUCAGACUCUGUUUCAUCAACAGGAUCUCCGGAAACUGGGGUGAUGAGUUGAUUUUCAAGGUAAAGUCCACUAACUGCAUGACCAAGCUGGUUCUUUAAAUGAUCAACUGGGUUGGGCUCCUCCUGUGAUUGCUUAAUCAGAGUAUCCGCAGAAUUUUCUUCAGUACCUGUUACUGACUUAAUACAGGUGUCAAUGAAAUCAUCUCUUUUCAGAACCACUUCUUGUGCUUCAUGUCUUCCAUGGUCCACUGAAGGAGGAAGGAAAUCUUGGACAACAUCAGAACAGAAUCUUUUCACACUUGCUCCCAUUGUCUGCAUCUGAUUUUCAACAUAUUUAACAGUGUCCUGACCAGAAAAUAACUUCAAAUUAGGCCCAUCAACAAGACUGCAGAAUCAUAUCCUCAGGAAAUAACAAGAAAACAUGCAGGAGAAAACAUAUUAAUACCUCGCUCACAAUGUUAUCCACCUGUUGGCACAUUGUUUCAAAUUUCUGGGAGAUAUUUCUCCCAACACAAGCUAUACUUUUGAGUUUCAGAUCCAUUACAGACUUAUAUUAUAUUGCCGGAAUAAAUGUCUCAAACAGCUCCAACUUUUGUACAAAGUGCAAGCUGCAAGGCAUAUUAUUCCUACACCAGUACAAUGAACCGUCCUGCAUAGAGGCAACACUGCAUCAGAAUUUUCACAGCUUAAGAUAAUGGGAAAUGAGAACAACUCUAAGGAUCGCAAUAUCUCAUCUCACAUGAACUGUAUUGAGCUGCUGGCUAAACAAAAGCUCAUCAGACCUAAAAUUGUAAGAAUUUUGAAAAGCCCCAAAUUAAUUUUAAAACUUCUUCCACGCCUUUGAGAUAGUAACUUGGAUGUAUUCUUCUACUGCAAGUUCACAUUAAAAGGAUAUAAUGAUCAAGAGGAGAAGUUUGGGUGGUUGGACAGUAUAGGACUGAGAUAAUAUCAAGAAGACCAAAAAACCUUGAGAAACUAUUGUGUGCCUGCUUUUUGAAUACACCAUACGUAAAAUUUUUUGAUGCCCUCGCAGACACAUGCAAACCUAAAAUGAACUAGUGUUUGCAUCAAAGCUUAUGUACAAGGGUAACAUUACCACGAAACAAAGUUUUGUUAAUGAAUCAAGGAAAUCCUAUUUACAUCUUGUUAAUAAAAACCACUCAAUCUGGAAGAUUGUUUACUCUAUCAUGCACUUAUCUUGGGUUCCGGCAUUGUCUACCGUAAGGCUCAUAGCACUGCAUUUUCUACUUCUUCAGAAUCUCCGAACUUAUUUAUUGUUCUACAGGACUUCCGCUGGGAACAAGUGCCUUCCCCGAUAUAAACAGCUCACUUUGCAAUGCCCAAUGACAUUACCAACUAUGCAAACUAUUCCACAUCCACACUUUUUUAAGAACCAUAAUGCUCCCACCACAGUUUGGUACACUGAUAACUAAAUUCUACCUUUUGGCAUACUACACAUAUAGGAUACAAAAAGGUGUUUACCACUUCAUCCUAUUUUAUAAAAUAUAGCAUAAAUAAAAUUUCAAUAUGUUGUUCACUGAUGCAGUACCAUCACAUAAGUACUUAAACUUUUAGUAUACCAAACAAACCCAUAAUUUAAUUUUUAAUAAAAGAAAUCACUUUAAAAAAAAAAAGCCCAUAAUUUUAAUUCCUCAUUUUUCCCAUAUCCACAAUGACCAUAAGUCAAAAUAUACAUACAACUAACUCAAUUCGGUUUUCAUUGGUCAUGAUCACAAUUUAGAAUUCCAUUUACUCAAGAAAACCCACAAGAAUUAAGCUCUCUUAAACAAAGGCUCCUAGAUUAUAUCAAAAUCCCAUCUCGUUAAAACAAAGAACCCAUAUAACAAACAUUACAAAAAAAAAAAAAUUAAAAUUAAUCGUGCUCAACUUAUUAUAAUGAGAAUUUAAAAUCAUAAAAAAAAUUCCGUAGAAAGGACCAAUUUUUUACAUGCAAGAGACGCUGAAAGAGAUAAGGAAAGAAGAUUGGCGCGUUACCGAUUACCUAUAGCACCCAGUGAACGGCGGAGAUUAUCGCCGGUAACCUUGAUAGUGUAACUUUUAGCUUUUACAGGGGUUUUUGAAACUAUGGAGCUUAUAUUGCUUCCGUAUCCGACACAAGGGCUUUAGUAGUUAUCAUCAAUUGUGUUUUGGGCCAUUUAAUUAGUUAAUUUCUUUUUUUUUUUGUGGAGAAUUAUUAGUUAAUUAAUUUCUUAGACGGCGUUCUCUCUAUUCAACCUUCGCGCCCGGGGGGGGGGGGGGGGGGGAGGGGGGAUAAAGAAAAAAAAUCUUAAGAUUCACUAUUAUUUUUUAAAGGAUAUAUUUCAUAUUACCCCUUGUAAUUUGUAAAUUGAUAAUCUUAAAAAUAUCCUUCAACUAUUAUAAAUUUUAACUUAUAUUCGUUUUGGUCAAAAAAUAAGAACAAAAUAAAAUUGGGUUGAUAAAAGAUUUUUUAUCUUCUGUACAAAUAUAGGAGGUAAACUAAGAUUUAUAAUAGUUUGGGAGUAUUUUAAAUAUUGUUAUUGUACAAUAAUUUGAGGAUAAAAUGAAAAUUUUUAUUUUAAGUAGGGGUAAAUUAAAGUUCAUCUUUAAUAAUUAAUAUAAAUAAAAGAUGAUAGUAAUUGUCUAAACGGAAGAUUUAGAAUAUUGAGAGUUCUUAUCUUGUUUGUAGUUAUAUGUCUAAAUAAAGGAUGAUUUUAGCACAAAAGGCACUUGUUGCAACUUCCCAGCAAGUCAUUCAUCAUAUACCUUCUUGUUUUUAGAUAUAUGUCUAAACAAAGAGUUUAGAAUAUUGAGAGUUUUUAUUUUGUUUGUAGUUAUCUAUCUAAAAAAAGGCAAAGGAUAUAUUUAGUACAAAAGCUGCCUAAUUGUAACUUUCUAGCAAGUCACCCAUCACACUUAUAUAUGGAAUUUUAAACAAUUUUGAAGUAAAGGUUGUUAUAUUCUUCUGAAAAUUAAACGGUGAUUAGAGAAUGGAUAUUAAAUCAUUUAACUUAAUUUCUAUGUAGUCCUAGGGGUAGUGAUCAUAUCCAGACCUCCCAUUCCCCUUAUAAGGCAAACAAUCUCCUCCUUAGAGAUACGCUGGGACUCACUGACAUUUCGACAUAACUGCUAGUUGAUACAGUGCUUGUCCACUCCACUAGUUGACUGGGCCAUACUCAACCUCCGGCUCUACGAUACUAGCACACACUGACUAAUUGAUAUGAUACUAGCCCACCUAUCAAAUAUGUAACCAAACUCUAAUAUCACUUAUUAGACUAAGGCACUUGUUACUGUUGGUUAAAAAUACUUUUGCAGUGGAAAUAUUUGGAUUAAAAUUCUCAUACAAUAUAUAAAAUUACCAUAAUCUACAAAUCAUACAUUUACUUUUUUGUAGAAGUAAUAUAGGCUCGCAAAUCACGAUUUGUCACCACAAAUUUUGUUAUAUCACGAUCUAUUUCCAAAGAUCUUCCAACUUAUGACUCAAGUUUGAUUUGUAUCUUAACGUGUGGGUGCUUUUAUCAUCGUUGAAAGCAAUUAGCAAGAGGAAAUUUUUCUCUCAAAGUUAAAGAGAAAAACUCUUUUUUCCUUUAAUUUGUAUAUUGUGACUCUUCUAUAUUUUAUUGGUAGAGAAAACAAACUUUUUAUAUCUCUGUUUAGUGGAAACUUUAGACUUCAUAUUUUCUUCUUCUAUUUUUAAUUCUAUUAAAUCAAAUUUAAAUUAAAUUAAAAAAAUGAAACCAAAAGUGGCAUUACUUGUUCUUGUUAUAGAGGGCUCCGCCUUGUAAAAUAACACAAGACCCUUAUAUACAAGCAUAUUAAAUGAAACCUUCUACCAAAUAAUAUCUUGCUUAUUAAUCCAGUAGUGAUCUCACUUAUUAAUCCAGAAAAGAAAUCAAUAGGCUUUUAACUCAAAUAACUAGUUAUCUUACUUAUUAAUCCAGUAGUGAUUCAGUCAAUUAAAUGAGCUAACCCGAGGAUCAUAUGAGUACAUACAAUAGUUGCUAUAAUAAUUAAGUUUGAAAUUAAAUUAGUCCAAUUAUUUAAUUCCAAGUCUGCUCCACUAAAAAAUUAGAACUGACCUCCAUAAUUAUAUGCUAUCUAAGAUAGUGAUCUCGAAUUAUAAUUCGACCCAUGCCAGAUUGAUUUAUUUACUGAACAAUCCUUUGUACCACAUUGCUAAUUAAAUUGAUAUCUCAACUGUCUAAUCAAUUUAUUUACAUCUUGUCCCUUGACUCUUACUAGCUUUUCUCUAAUGAUCAUUUUCAACAUAUUAAUUAUGCUGACACACGCUGGCCAGAGAAUUCUAUGAUCAAGUACUGAAAACUCAUUAAGAGAUGUGUUGUACAAAAUCUAUAUUGUUAAUCUAUAAUCUCAUUGCUCAUAAUUGCUUCCACCAAGAUACCAGGUAAUCUUGACUAUAAAUGUAUGUCGUGCCCAUUGGUAACUCAAAUGAAAUGACAAUCAUAAACAUGAAAUUAUAAUUACCUUAAGAUUCAAAUUGGAAUAAAAUCAAUAACUAUGAGAUUUAAUAAGUUUGACAAUCAUUUUAAAGUUAAUUAAAUCACAUAUGUGAUCUAGUUCAAUGUAGUCAAACUACAUCAGUAAAUUCAUACAUGAUUAAGGCAAAUUAUUUAAUGAAUUUAAUUUAGUCUAAAUAUAAAUAAUGCGCCCAACUUUAUUUAUCAACAACGAACUUAAUUUAUUUAAUCAUAAAAUAAUGUGUAUUAUGUCUUCCGUGAAUUCAUAUGAUGAUCACAUAAAAUAUAUAAUAAGAUUAAACAAAUCUUAUUCAAAAUAUUUAUUUAUGCAAUUAAGAUAUCUGAAAAUGUCUCAAAUAUUUUAUUAAUUAGAAAAUAAAUAAAUCAAUAUGCUUUAAAAUGGUGACGAUCUUUAAUUCGCUGGACAUGCUCCUGAACAAGUGAGUCUGUUGGACGGUUUGGAAUUAUGGCUUUGGACAUGUCCGGUAACUAUCCAUUUGUUGAUCCACUAAAUGCGAGUUCAGGACCCAGAGGGUUACAUAGUUUAACAGUUUAGCCUAAUGAUUCAUGUGUUAACCAGAUGCCACCAAGUUUUCCCCUAUAUAAAUACAUGAGUAAUGAAAUUGAAAAAUGACUAAUGUUUGUUUGGUAUUGAGGUGUUUGUUUUUGGCAAAUAAAAGCUCUGAUUGUCAAAUGAAAGUAUUGACUGGUAUUAUUGUAUGCAUAGAAUGUCAAGUAAAUGAAGUUGUUGUUUUUUUAAUUGGUUAUGUAAAUAACACAGCUAUUGUCUAAAUUGUUUGUUUUAGUUAAUUUCUACUUCAAUUCUGGUACGAUUUCUUUUUUUUUUUUUUUUAAAUACACAGCAAUAUUUCAUUACAACCAUUAACAAUAGCAAUAUAAAUCCAGAAAUACAUCAGAAUUAUAAAUCAACUUAAAUCCAA